This 568-nucleotide ribosomal RNA is filed under the name haloarchaeon enrichment culture clone B1A-C44. RNAcentral's name for it is "bacterial SSU rRNA". It matches the Rfam family "Archaeal small subunit ribosomal RNA", at positions 340 to 908 of the family's 1478-position model. Lineage: Archaea; Methanobacteriati; Methanobacteriota; Halobacteria; Halobacteriales. The record is from RNAcentral.
CGCGAAACCUUUACACUGCACGACAGUGCGAUAGGGGAACUCCGAGUGCGAGGGCAUAGAGCCCUCGCUUUUCUGCACCGUAAGGUGGUGCAGGAACAAGUGCUGGGCAAGACCGGUGCCAGCCGCCGCGGUAAUACCGGCAGCACGAGUGAUGGCCGAUCUUAUUGGGCCUAAAGCGUCCGUAGCUGGCCGUGCAAGUCCGUCGGGAAAUCCAGUGGCUCAACCUCUGGGCUUCCGGCGGAAACUGCUCGGCUUGGGACCGGAAGACUCGAGGGGUACGUUCGGGGUAGGAGUGAAAUCCCGUAAUCCUGAACGGACCACCGAUGGCGAAAGCACCUCGAGAGCACGGAUCCGAUAGUGAGGGACGAAAGCUAGGGUCUCGAACCGGAUUAGAUACCCGGGUAGUCCUAGCUGUUAACGAUGCCCGCUCGGUUCGGCGCAGGCUACGAGCCUGUGCCGCGCCUCAGUGAAGACGUAAGCGGGCCGCCUGGGAAGUACGUCCGCAAGGAUGAAACUUAAAGGAAUUGGCGGGGGAGCACUACAACCGGAGGAGCCUGCGGUUUAAUUG